CCGAUGGCUUUGGAGAGAUUCUUAAUUUGGUAUCUUUGUUGUCUCAUCCACCCAACCCUAUUCUUCCGCUGCUUCCCCCUUUUUAUGUAUGGAGGUGAGAGAGAGAGAGAGAGAGAGAGUUCUGUGUGUUCUUGGGGUGUACUAGUUGUUCUUGUAAAUAUGAUCUGUUUCAAUGAUCUAAAGCCAAAAAAAAAAAAGAUAAAAAGGUGGUGUUGUGAUCUGUGCUUGCUUGAUCUGAUCACAACCAAGAAUUGGGUUCACAAAGCUACUGUAAGAAAUCAAGGAAUUAAUUUGUGUUUUUUGCAUCCAAGCAACAGGAUUGCUUUCAGUGACGAAGAUGAUUGUCUCCAGCAUAUUAAUGAAUUGCCUGUAUUCUGAUCAAGCAAUUGGCAGCUGGUGAUUGGAGUCAUCCACGGCCUACCCAAUUUUACCCAGGGAUGGGUUGUUGUCAUCAAGAAGCCCCGAGAAACCUGUGAAACUAUCCACAACGAAUCUUCCUGAUCAAAAGUUGCAACUCCUACAGAUCCACAGUGCAAAAGGAGGAGGAAAAGUGGCACGAGCCCUUUGAUUGCCUGUCUUCACGGGAUGCCAAUGCCUCAUCAAGUGGAAAAGCUUACGACAGCCAAGCCUUGCCGUCAGCGGUGGGUUGUUUCUGCUGCUCCUCCUCCUCCUCGGACAGAUUGUCUUCAUGCAGCCAGCUCCUGGGAGACAUGCAUGCAGCAAGGAGUGAGGAGGCCUGCCCAUGGGCCUCCUUAAGCUGAUGUACAGUAUAUCAUAUACAUCGACUCUCGUAACUUGAAAUUAUGUUCUCAUUAAACUGCAGGCUACAUGACCCUCUGCUUGUGAUCUUUCUCAAAUCUCCUGCACCCGAGGACCCAAAGUCAAACCAAUCGUGGCUCGGUGGGAGGUCGACGUCGUUGGGCGUGUAGUGCGCGGCUGGACUGGUCGGUCUCACCCACUUGGCCGCACAUGUUCGUUCCAUUUUUCCCUUAAGGUAUGGAUCCUCUCUCUAUCCACGAGGUGAUGGAUGGAGUUGAUUAGAUUGCUGCAUGCACUCUUUAGGUCGCGCCCAUCAUCCGCAUCACAACCCUUGGAGGGUCUUGUCAUGUUCGGAAUCCUAGAAUGUAAAGCAUUGCAUUGCAGAUUUGGUAUCUCAAGUGGAACUUGUGAAAUAGGAGGCCAUUUCCAUGUGAAAGAAUAAAGGAUGCAAGGAGAGAAGGAAGUUCGAAGGAUGCUAAAGAUUUAUAUGAGGAAUGCAGCAUAUGCUUUAUGAAGAUUCCUAUUAGUUUGUGCGUGUGUCGUUUGAAUUCGGAUUGGCUACCAUAGUGGAGUGAAGGGAUGAUAAGUAAGAAUAAUUACUCUCUUCUGGUAUCAAAAGUCAAGUUGCUAAGAUUUUAUCAUUGCACUAGAGAUUACUAAAGAGGUACGAGGAAUAAAUAUAUGAUAUCUUGUGCC
Molecule: long non-coding RNA, 1455 nt
Organism: Musa acuminata subsp. malaccensis (wild Malaysian banana)
Lineage: Eukaryota; Viridiplantae; Streptophyta; Magnoliopsida; Zingiberales; Musaceae
Source: RefSeq, a predicted model, not a curated record